Molecule: unclassified non-coding RNA, 253 nt
Filed under: uncultured Flavobacteriaceae bacterium
Lineage: Bacteria; Pseudomonadati; Bacteroidota; Flavobacteriia; Flavobacteriales; Flavobacteriaceae
Description: contains 16S-23S intergenic spacer region
Rfam family: Bacterial small subunit ribosomal RNA
Source: RNAcentral
UACAGAGGCCUCAAGCGUUAUCCGGAAUCAUUGGGUUUAAAGGGUCCGUAGGCGGGUGCGUAAGUCAGUGGUGAAAGUCUGCAGCUUAACUGUAGAACUGCCAUUGAUACUGUUGACCUUGAGUAAUUAUGAAGUGGUUAGAAUAUGUAGUGUAGCGGUGAAAUGCAUAGAUAUUACAUAGAAUACCGAUUGCGAAGGCAGAUCACUAAUAAUUCACUGACGCUGAGGGACGAAAGCGUAGGUAGCGAACAGG